GACGAACGCUGGCGGCGUGCUUAACACAUGCAAGUCGAACGAGAGGAGAAGGAAGCUUGCUUCUUUCAAAUCUAGUGGCAAACGGGUGAGUAACACGUAAACAACCUGCCUUCAGGAUGGGGACAACAGACGGAAACGACUGCUAAUACCGAAUACGUUCCUUAGGUCGCAUGACUUUAGGAAGAAAGGGUGGCCUCUACUUGUAAGCUAUCGCCUGAAGAGGGGUUUGCGUCUGAUUAGGUAGUUGGUGAGGUAACGGCCCACCAAGCCGACGAUCAGUAGCCGGUCUGAGAGGAUGAACGGCCACAUUGGAACUGAGACACGGUCCAGACUCCUACGGGAGGCAGCAGUGGGGAAUCUUCCGCAAUGGGCGAAAGCCUGACGGAGCAACGCCGCGUGAGUGAAGAAGGUCUUCGGAUCGUAAAGCUCUGUCUUCAGGGACGAUAAUGACGGUACCUGAGGAGGAAGCCACGGCUAACUACGUG
Molecule: ribosomal RNA, 485 nt
Filed under: uncultured bacterium
Lineage: Bacteria
Description: bacterial SSU rRNA
Rfam family: Bacterial small subunit ribosomal RNA
Source: RNAcentral